Acanthosepion pharaonis is the source of this 112-nucleotide non-coding RNA. NCBI's taxonomy places the organism in Eukaryota, Metazoa, Mollusca, Cephalopoda, Sepiida, Sepiidae. The record is from the annotation of a GenBank genome assembly.
UAUGGCGAUAUCACGUUGAAACAUUGGUUCCUGUAUGAUCACUAAAGUUAAGCAACAUUGAGCCCAGUCAGUACCUAGAUGGGUGAUCACUUGGGAAUACCAGGUGCUGUAA